GCAGUAGCCGCGGGAAUACGGAGGGGGCUAGCGUUGUUCGGAAUUACUGGGCGUAAAGCGCACGUAGGCGGCUUGGUAAGUUAGAGGUGAAAGCCCGGAGCUCAACUCCGGAAUUGCCUUUAAGACUGCCGAGCUAGUAAGUGAGAGAGGUAAGUGGAAUUCCGAGUGUAGAGGUGAAAUUCGUAGAUAUUCGGAAGAACACCAGUGGCGAAGGCGGCUUACUGGCUCAUUCUAGACGCUGAGGUGCGAAAGCGUGGGGAGCAAACAGGAUUAGAUACCCCCGUAGUCCCUGUCUCUUAUAC
RNAcentral lists this ribosomal RNA (302 nucleotides) under uncultured bacterium. RNAcentral describes it as "partial 16S ribosomal RNA". It matches the Rfam family "Bacterial small subunit ribosomal RNA", at positions 508 to 807 of the family's 1533-position model. The record is from RNAcentral.